UACAGAGGUCUCAAGCGUUGUUCGGAUUCAUUGGGCGUAAAGGGUGCGUAGGUGGCGUGGUAAGUCGGAUGUGAAAUCCCGGGGCUCAACCCCGGAACUGCAUUCGAUACUGCCAUGCUAGAGUACUGGAGAGGAGAUUGGAAUUUACGGUGUAGCAGUGAAAUGCGUAGAUAUCGUAAGGAAGACCAGUGGCGAAGGCGGGUCUCUGGACAGUUCCUGACGCUGAGGCACGAAGGCCAGGGGAGCAAACGGG
Molecule: ribosomal RNA, 253 nt
Filed under: uncultured bacterium
Lineage: Bacteria
Description: partial 16S ribosomal RNA
Rfam family: Bacterial small subunit ribosomal RNA
Source: RNAcentral